Gossypium raimondii (Peruvian cotton) is the source of this 106-nucleotide small nucleolar RNA. It matches the Rfam family "Plant small nucleolar RNA R71". Rfam says of the family: R71 is a member of the C/D box family of snoRNAs containing the C (UGAUGA) and D (CUGA) box motifs. Multiple nearly identical copies of this snoRNA have been identified in Arabidopsis, and it is thought to function as a 2'-O-ribose methylation guide for 18S ribosomal RNA. The record is from Rfam. NCBI's taxonomy places the organism in Eukaryota, Viridiplantae, Streptophyta, Magnoliopsida, Malvales, Malvaceae.
AUUCCGUUAUGAGGGCAUCUUUGUAAUAGUUAUUUAAACCUUUCCCACACCUCAUAUAAGGACUCAUCAUCCAUAUGUUGGAAGGUAGUGAUAUCGUUCUACAACU